Molecule: ribosomal RNA, 463 nt
Filed under: uncultured bacterium
Lineage: Bacteria
Description: partial 16S ribosomal RNA
Rfam family: Bacterial small subunit ribosomal RNA
Source: RNAcentral
GAUGAACGCUGACAGAAUGCUUAACACAUGCAAGUCGAUGGGGAAGUGGUGCUUGCACCAUGGCAACCAUGGCGGACGGGUGAGUAACGCGUAAGGGACUUACCUGCAGGACUGGGAUAACAGGGGGAAACUCCUGACAAGACCGGAUAAUGUCAUGGAGCUGCAUGGCUUUAUGAUGAAAGGAGACGCCUGCGGAGAGCCUUGCGUCCUAUUAGCUAGUUGGUGAGGUAAUGGCUCACCAAGGCGAAGAUAGGUAGCCGGCCUGAGAGGGUGGACGGCCACAAGGGGACUGAGAUACGGCCCUUACUCCUGCGGGAGGCAGCAGUGGGGAAUAUUGGACAAUGGGGGCAACCCUGAUCCAGCAAUUCUGUGUGCACGAAGAAGGUUUUCGGAUUGUAAAGUGCUUUCAGCAGGGAAGAAGUAAGUGACGGUACCUGCAGAAGAAGCGACGGCUAAAUACGUG